This 375-nucleotide transfer-messenger RNA is filed under the name Geodermatophilus ruber. Its description in RNAcentral is "Standard tmRNA". It matches the Rfam family "transfer-messenger RNA". From Rfam's summary of the family: Bacterial tmRNA, also known as 10Sa RNA or SsrA, is named for its dual tRNA and mRNA-like properties. Lineage: Bacteria; Bacillati; Actinomycetota; Actinomycetes; Geodermatophilales; Geodermatophilaceae. The record is from Rfam by way of RNAcentral.
GGGGGUGAAUGGUCUCGACUUCGGUCGUGUGACCAGGGGAAGCGAGCCGAGGAAGGCAACGAUGAGCUCGUUAACCACGCGUUGCAAACAACACAAGCGCCGACUCCAGUCAGCGCGACUUCGCUCUCGCUGCCUAAGCAGCAGGAGUGAGUCUGUCAGCCCGGGUUCGUCAUCGGCCCGGAUCCUGGCAUCAGCUAGAUGACUCACCGUGCGGAUCGGUCGCGGAUCCGCACGGGACACCGCACAGCGACUGGGCCCGUCACACCGACUCGUUCGUGAGAUCGGUGGGGUCAAGCAGAGACGCAGCGGACUGCGCUCGGAGAAGCCCUGGUCAGGCGUCGGAGGACGCGGGUUCGAUUCCCGCCACCUCCACCA